AGCACUGGAUGGUAUCUGCACCCAAUGGUAAAUACCUGUUGUGGUGUUCAAUAAGCAGUGCUAUACUAACUCAGCAAUUGGCAUCGUUGGUUUUAAGGCUUUAUGCUUUAAAUCCUGGUUUUUCUGCUGAUACAAGC
This is a non-coding RNA of Xenopus laevis (African clawed frog), 137 nucleotides long. Lineage: Eukaryota; Metazoa; Chordata; Amphibia; Anura; Pipidae. The record is from Rfam.